RNAcentral lists this long non-coding RNA (3463 nucleotides) under Triticum aestivum (bread wheat). RNAcentral's name for it is "long non-coding RNA (TAES_LNC000260)". The record is from RNAcentral. Lineage: Eukaryota; Viridiplantae; Streptophyta; Magnoliopsida; Poales; Poaceae.
UAGUCACCACUCCAUCUCUCCCCCGCUCGUUUUCUUCCCCCACAACCCGUAGCCGAAGCAACCCCGCCAUGGCCAUCGUCAUUCGCGCGCUCCUCGUCACCCCCGAAGCAUGUGGCCGUGCCCCUUGACUCCGCCCUCGCCCGCUACUUCCUCUGCUGUCAACCGUUGGAGCUCGGCGCCACUACAUCACCUGCAUCGAGUCAUCUUCCACCUUCGGCCGUCGCUCAUUGCCGCUUCGAUUUGUCGCCUCCAAGCCUUCCCCGAGCUUACUUUGCACCUCUACAGGUUCGCGGUGAGGUCCCCGACCGAUUCCCCUCGUUCCCAACUUCAAUCCACCCCGUUAGGCGCCACCCCCGUGCUCGUCCGUGUCCGCCAUGGCCGGAGCCCGAGCUCCCGUGUACGUGCUCUGCUGCUGCGCUAUUUGCUGUUGCUUGUUGUUCCUUGGCUCCGCCCGCACCCACCACCUCAGCCGCCAGCGUCCACCAUCGCUCUGCGCGCCUGCCCGCCUUUGCUCGCCGGCGUCGUCCGAGCCACCUCCGCGACGCGCUCCCUAGCCUUCCCGCCUCGGGACGCCGCUGGCCGGGGCCGCGCCUUGCUCCCCGCGUGCCACUACGGCUGCCGCUGAGGCCCCGUUGCCGCUGCUGCCUUGCUGCCACGGUCGUGGCCGGCCCCUGCCUCGAGCGAGCGCAGGCAAGCAGCUCCCCCCCUCGGUCGUCUCUGUCCCUGCAAGAUCGGGAUGGCCCUGGCUAACCGAGGAUUAGUUUAGGACUAAUUCCCCACUAAUGGCACACUGACAUGUAGGGCCCCCACCACUGUUUAUCAUAAAUAAUUCUUAAACUAAAAUUAGUUUACCCUGUGACACUGACAUCUGGGUCCUCCCCUAAAUAAAACAACUUAGUUAAAAUUAAACAAACGCUAGUCAAUGACACCUGGACCCCACCUGCCCUUUGACUGGUCAACUUUGACCUUUGACCCGCUGACUUAGCACACCCCUGGACCCCAUAGUCAUAGACCUAGGCUAGUCCACUUGUGGGUAUAAAAAGUAUUUUGCCGUAUUUAAUAUUUUCGAAUUUAAUUAAUUCCAGAAAAUUGUUUAAACUUUGGAAAUUCAUAUAAAUUAAUCCGUAGCUCGGAUGAAAAUGUUUUAUGUAUGAAAAAUGCUCAGAAAAAUAUGACGAACCCGAAUAUGUCACCGACAUACCUGCCACACCCCUCUAACCUACUGAACAUGGAACCUUUCCCUCUGAUUCAUCUGUCCGGAAAAUGCCAAAUGCCGGGAAAACCCCUCCGGAUGUUUUCCAUCUCCGUCUUCAACGUGUAGUACCGCGUUAGUUCACCCCUAACACCGUGUAUUACCAUAUUUUGCUUUGUGAUGCUUUGUUUGCUUUAUAUUUAUUGUUUCUUCCCCCUCUUCUCUCCGGUAGACCCCGAGACCGAUGCCGCCCCUGUGAUCGACUACAUCGGCGACGACACUUCUUCCUUUUCAGCCGAGCUUCCAGGAAAGCCCCCCCUUUGAUCAUCCCGAUAUCGCCCAUUCCAUUCUCUCAUGCUUGCAUUAGAUUUUGCUACUGUAAUUGUUUGCUCCUAUUCCGAUGCAUAGCCUGCUUUUGUAUCUACUGUUGUACCUUACCUGCUUAUCCUAAACUGCUUAGUAUAGGUUGGUUAGUGAUCCAUCAGCGACCCCCACCUUGUCCUUCUUGCCCCUGCUUCAUCAUCGAAGACCCGAUCAACGGGAUCGAAGACCAGGCCCCGGCACCGCACAUCACUUUCCCCUUAAUUGCUCGACACUACUGGGUUACUAUCGAGUGCCGAGGGUGAGACCUCAUCAGCACUUCUGAUGUUAACUCUGUAGUGUAGCUAUUCAGUCGUGGUCAUCAAGGGUGAUUUCCUCCUUAACCACUUCUGAUACGACUCUGUCGUGCAACCCCUCAAGUGUGAACCUCGAGGGUGGAUCCUCUUACGUUCACCUUGAUGAUUACAUCGAGUGGAAUUCACCGGGGGUGAUUCCUCGGGUUUUCCCCUUGAUGAUUAGACACACGGAUACUUGGACUUUACAACUAUUACUUGGAAAGGCGGGUCAACCCUGAGGGGUACCCGCGAGUGAUGUGGCGACGGGUUGACCUGGAGGGUGCCCGCGAGAUAAUUACGAGGUGUGGCCGGGCAUUCCUAGCCCUUGCCGCAAGUCCUCGAGACGGGGCAACGGGGUCACAUCUUUCGUGAGUCUCUGCUUGUUACCGCGUGCUCCUAAUCCACUACGAUUUGGAUAUUUGAUCCGAGGGGCCUCUGGCCUGAUAGCACUAACCAUCACGUGGGCAUAGUAUGGGCGUUCUGCGUCGUAUGCAUCAGCCGAAGUUUAAUAGACGUCAGCGACUGAGAGGCGUGCGCCGGGUUGGACUGCGUAAGCACCUGCUUUUUUGAAGGAGGUAGCUAGGUCUGCUCACCGGCCACCCUCGCAACGUGUAGGAGUUCCCAGGGCGAUGGCCCAUGACCCCUAGGGGCAUAGGUUUAGUCCGGCCUGCUGACCUCUCUAUUAAGCCUAGGUCGGGUUGCGGCGUAUUGUUUGGCCGAGGCCGGGCAUGACCCGGGAAAGUGUGUCCGGCCGGAGUUAAUCGAGCGUGGUGGGUAAGUUGGUGCACCCCUGCAGGGAAGAAAACAUCUAUCGAUAGCCUGUCCUACGGUAACGGACACUUGGAGUUGUAUCCCGAUCGAUACAACUAGAACUGGAUACUUGAGAUGAGACAUGGAUAUGAGAAAUGGAUAAUAUGGCUCUGGGAUUGCUUUCUCGCAGGGAGUCGAGAAAGGAUCUCUGGCCGAGGUUGAUAACACUACUACUACUUUACUUUAUGCUACUCUACUCCCUCCUGUUGCUGCAAGAUGGUGGUUUCCAGAAGAUGCUAGUCUUCGAUAUUACUAGAUUCUCCCCUCUAUUCUGGCAUUUCUGCAGUUCAGUCCACAUAUACAGCCCAUUUCAUUGAUACCGAUGCAUAUGUAGUGUAGUUCCUUCCUUGCGAGUACUUUGGACGGGUACUCACUGUUGCUUUGCUCCCCCUUUCUUCUUCUUUCUGGUUGAUGCAACCAGAUGUCGGAGCCCAGGAGCCAGAUGCCACCGCCGAUGCUUACUACUACGUGGAGGCCGCCGCCGACUAGGAGUAGUUAGGAGGAUCCCAGGCAGGAGGCCUUGCCUUUUCGAUCGAUGUGCUUUUGUGCUAGCCUUCUUAAGGCAAACUUGUCUAAUUUAUGUCUGUACUCAGAUAUUGUUGCUUCCGCUGACUCUUAUGUUUUUGAGCUUAUGUAUUCGAGCCCUCGAGGCCCCUGGCUUGUAAUAUAAAGCUUGUAUUAUUUCCAAUUUGUGUCUAGAGUUGUGUUGUAAUAUCUUCCCGCGAGUCCUUGAUCUUGAUCGUACACAUUUGCGUGUAUAUUAGUGUACGAUUGAAUCGAGGGCGUCACAGCGCCCUUCCCAGCU